Molecule: ribosomal RNA, 495 nt
Filed under: Staphylococcus hominis
Lineage: Bacteria; Bacillati; Bacillota; Bacilli; Caryophanales; Staphylococcaceae
Description: bacterial SSU rRNA
Rfam family: Bacterial small subunit ribosomal RNA
Source: RNAcentral
GGAUGAACGCUGGCGGCGUGCCUAAUACAUGCAAGUCGAGCGAACAGACGAGGAGCUUGCUCCUUUGACGUUAGCGGCGGACGGGUGAGUAACACGUAGGUAACCUACCUAUAAGACUGGGAUAACUUCGGGAAACCGGAGCUAAUACCGGAUAAUAUUUCGAACCGCAUGGUUCGAUAGUGAAAGAUGGCUUUGCUAUCACUUAUAGAUGGACCUGCGCCGUAUUAGCUAGUUGGUAAGGUAACGGCUUACCAAGGCAACGAUACGUAGCCGACCUGAGAGGGUGAUCGGCCACACUGGAACUGAGACACGGUCCAGACUCCUACGGGAGGCAGCAGUAGGGAAUCUUCCGCAAUGGGCGAAAGCCUGACGGAGCAACGCCGCGUGAGUGAUGAAGGUCUUCGGAUCGUAAAACUCUGUUAUUAGGGAAGAACAAACGUGUAAGUAACUGUGCACGUCUUGACGGUACCUAAUCAGAAAGCCACGGCUAACUAC